GAUGAACGCUGGCGGCGUGCCUAACACAUGCAAGUCGAACGAAGCACCUUACCUGAUUCUUCGGAUGAAGGUCUGGUGACUGAGUGGCGGACGGGUGAGUAACGCGUGGGUAACCUGCCCUGUACAGGGGGAUAACAGUUGGAAACGGCUGCUAAUACCGCAUAAGCGCACGAGAGGACAUCCUCUUGUGUGAAAAACUCCGGUGGUACAGGAUGGGCCCGCGUCUGAUUAGCUGGUUGGCAGGGUAACGGCCUACCAAGGCGACGAUCAGUAGCCGGUCUGAGAGGAUGAACGGCCACAUUGGAACUGAGACACGGUCCAAACUCCUACGGGAGGCAGCAGUGGGGAAUAUUGCACAAUGGGGGAAACCCUGAUGCAGCAACGCCGCGUGAGUGAAGAAGUAUUUCGGUAUGUAAAGCUCUAUCAGCAGGGAAGAUAAUGACGGUACCUGACUAAGAAGCUCCGGCUAAAUACGUGCCAGCAGCCGCGGUAAUACGUAUGGAGCAAGCGUUAUCCGGAUUUACUGGGUGUAAAGGGUGCGUAGGUGGCAGUGCAAGUCAGAUGUGAAAGGCCGGGGCUCAACCCCGGAGCUGCAUUUGAAACUGCAUAGCUAGAGUACAGGAGAGGCAGGCGGAAUUCCUAGUGUAGCGGUGAAAUGCGUAGAUAUUAGGAGGAACACCAGUGGCGAAGGCGGCCUGCUGGACUGUUACUGACACUGAGGCACGAAAGCGUGGGGAGCAAACAGG
This 746-nucleotide ribosomal RNA is filed under the name uncultured Lachnospiraceae bacterium. RNAcentral describes it as "bacterial SSU rRNA". It matches the Rfam family "Bacterial small subunit ribosomal RNA", at positions 28 to 776 of the family's 1533-position model. Lineage: Bacteria; Bacillati; Bacillota; Clostridia; Lachnospirales; Lachnospiraceae. The record is from RNAcentral.